GGCUCUCUGUUUACAUAAAUAUAGGGAGUCGAGCCUGCCCAGUGAAUUUUUAAACGGCCGCGGUACUCUGACCGUGCAAAGGUAGCAUAAUCAUUUGCCUUAUAAUUGAAGGCUAGUAUGAAUGGUUUGACGAGAGCAACACUGUCUCCUUUUUAUUUUCAAGAACUUAACUUUUAGGUGAAGAGGCCUAAAUUUUAUUGAAGGACAAGAAGACCCUAUCGAGCUUAAAAGACAUUAUAGAAGUUUAUAUAUUUCUAAAUAAAUUUUCUAUUGAGCUUUUUAGUUGGGGCGACUAAGGAACAAAAAAAGCUUCUUGCUGAUAAUAGACAGUCAUGUUUAGAUCCGAUAAUAAUCGAUCAAAGAAAUUAGUUACCGUAGGGAUAACAGCAUAAUCUCUCUUGAGAGACCUAAUCGAAAGAGGGGGUUGUGACCUCGAUGUUGGACUAGAAUAUCCUAAAGAUGCAGAAGUCUUUGAAAGGUCGGUCUGUUCGACCGUUAAAAUUCU
Molecule: ribosomal RNA, 505 nt
Filed under: Juga plicifera
Lineage: Eukaryota; Metazoa; Mollusca; Gastropoda; Semisulcospiridae
Also listed under: 1 other name
Description: partial large subunit ribosomal RNA
Rfam family: Bacterial large subunit ribosomal RNA
Source: RNAcentral